RNAcentral lists this transfer RNA (82 nucleotides) under Mesoplasma florum. RNAcentral's name for it is "tRNA-Leu". It matches the Rfam family "tRNA". Rfam says of the family: Transfer RNA (tRNA) molecules are approximately 80 nucleotides in length. Their secondary structure includes four short double-helical elements and three loops (D, anti-codon, and T loops). Further hydrogen bonds mediate the characteristic L-shaped molecular structure. tRNAs have two regions of fundamental functional importance: the anti-codon, which is responsible for specific mRNA codon recognition, and the 3' end, to which the tRNAs corresponding amino acid is attached (by aminoacyl-tRNA synthetases). tRNAs cope with the degeneracy of the genetic code in two manners: having more than one tRNA (with a specific anti-codon) for a particular amino acid; and 'wobble' base-pairing, i.e. permitting non-standard base-pairing at the 3rd anti-codon position. RNAcentral also lists the same sequence under 2 other names. Lineage: Bacteria; Bacillati; Mycoplasmatota; Mollicutes; Entomoplasmatales; Entomoplasmataceae. The record is from RNAcentral.
GCCUCCUUGGCGGAAUUGGCAGACGCAUCAGACUCAAAAUCUGACGAGGAAACUCGUAUCGGUUCGACCCCGAUAGGAGGCA